Molecule: long non-coding RNA, 1133 nt
Organism: Artibeus jamaicensis (Jamaican fruit-eating bat)
Lineage: Eukaryota; Metazoa; Chordata; Mammalia; Chiroptera; Phyllostomidae
Exons: 3
Source: RefSeq, a predicted model, not a curated record
UGCCUCAUACAAUGCACAAAAAUAACUCAAAAUAGAAUACAGACCUAAAUGGAAGAUCUUACAUAAUAAAACUUAUGGUAAAAAAAAAAAGAGACUACAUCAUGAUCUUGGAUUAGGCAAUGGUUUAUUCAAUACGAUGCCCAAAAGCACAGGUUACAAAACAAUAGGUAAGUUAGACUUCAUCUAAAUGACAAACUCGUGCUUCGAAGAACACAAAAAUAUAACCCACAGAAGGAGAGAAAAGAUUUGUCAGUCAGAUAUCUGACAAGAGACUUGAAGCUGGCAUACAGAGAUCUUUCUUUUACAACUUGCCAAUUAAAAGUGGUCAAGUAAUCUGAAUAUACAUUUUUCGGGGAAGAGAAGAUGAGUGGCCAACGAGCACAUGAAAAGAUGCCCAACAUCAUUAGGCAUUAGAGGAAUGCAAAUCAAACUACCGGGAAGUACCACUUCGCCAGGAUGGCUGAAAUGAAAAAGACACAAUAGCAAAUGCUGACUGCAACGUGGAGAUGGAAACGUUCAUACAUUGCUGGUGGGAAUGUAAACUAGUACCGUCACUUUGAAAAACAGUUUGGGGUAGACUUUCCGACUUCCGCCAAGAUGGAGGAUUAAGGUGGAUGUGCCUGCCUCCUCUCACAACCAAGUUUAAGGACAACUAAAUAUUAGCAUCAGAAAACACAACCAGAACACGGAAAACUGAACUUUUCGGAAGUCCGCAAACAGCAAAUUCUCCGGCCCGGCCGGUAAGAGGCAAACCGGCGGCGGCGGGUGGAGGAGUUACAAAGGAGAACUCGUUCGACCCGGGCGCGGGCGCGGGACCCAGACGCGCGACUUUUCGGAAGUCCGCAAACAGCAAAUUCUCCGGCCCGGCCGGUAAGAGGCAAACCGGCGGCGGCGGGUUGAGGAGUUACAAAGGAGAACUUGUUCGACCCGGGCGCGGGCGCGGAACCCAGACGCGCGAAUCCAGACGCACGGGUUCCAAACCCAGGAUUGGACCUAGUGAGCAGCCCACCGGAAAAUAAGUUUUCAAAAUGGUCCUCUUCUGAAGAGGAGUUCAAAGAGUUUGCAGUCAAAACAUGUAUGGAAACGUAUUACAGAGGUACGCGGUGACACCGUGCUUACUGAAGUGCUUCCAA